RNAcentral lists this transfer RNA (73 nucleotides) under Marmota monax (woodchuck). RNAcentral describes it as "tRNA.Ala". The stretch from base 7 to 67 matches the Rfam family "tRNA", at positions 6 to 65 of the family's 71-position model. From Rfam's summary of the family: Transfer RNA (tRNA) molecules are approximately 80 nucleotides in length. Their secondary structure includes four short double-helical elements and three loops (D, anti-codon, and T loops). Lineage: Eukaryota; Metazoa; Chordata; Mammalia; Rodentia; Sciuridae. The record is from RNAcentral.
UGAGAUUGUAGCUCAGUGGUAGAGCACUCGCCUAGCAUGUGUAAGGCACUGAGUUCAAUCUUCAGCACCACAA